CGCGCGUCGACAUCGGACGCUAUGACACACUCGUGCCUUAUGUGCCACCGAAGCCCCGAAGUGGUCUGGCAUAUACCUUCACAUAUAUGCAAUGGCAAGCCCUUCCGUGUGUUCCAAAGACAAUGCCUACGCCUAGCCACAGCAGCUCCCUCAUACAGACUCCACAAACCAAGAGGCCGUGGAGGCAAAUGCAGGCAGCCAGCACACCUCGAACAGCCACCUUGACUGCGGGUGUGUCACCUUAGUCGCGAAGGAAACAUUUGAGGGAAAGUGACAGGCAACGUGAACAGCCACUUCUCCAUGUAAACAAUACUCUUUCUCUCGGAUGACUCCUACGCCUCACCACGCCAGCACACUUGUGCACAAAGAUGCCGCAGAGGCACGUGCAGGUCAGAGGCAAGAAGCAGUGGCACUGGUGUCGACAUUUACCCAAUUUCUUUUUCUUACACUGAGGCAGCCAGCACACCUCGAACAGCCACCUUGACUGCGGGUGUGUUAGUUGAUUCCUGUUGUACAUAUGCUCAUAAUAAACUUCAGUAAACUUGAACUUCAUAAUAAACUUGAAGGCAAAUGGGA
Molecule: long non-coding RNA, 576 nt
Organism: Dermacentor albipictus
Lineage: Eukaryota; Metazoa; Arthropoda; Arachnida; Ixodida; Ixodidae
Source: RefSeq, a predicted model, not a curated record